CCUUUCCUCCCAACAAGCAAACGUGCACUGAAUUUAAGUGUAUACUUCGGUAAGCUUCGGCUUACGACGGGACCACCUUAUGUUAUUUCAUCAUGGUCUAAACUGAUAGCUGAACUAACUGAAUGUGCGAAAUACACAUGAAUCACAAUCGCGCGUUUCGUUUGACGUCUGGA
RNAcentral lists this non-coding RNA (173 nucleotides) under Drosophila melanogaster (fruit fly). The record is from RNAcentral. Lineage: Eukaryota; Metazoa; Arthropoda; Insecta; Diptera; Drosophilidae.